AUGUCGACGGCACUGACACUACUGCUGCUCCUUGCGGCAGCGGCAGCUACCACCGCGACCACUGGUGGGUGUCCGCCGAGCUGCGGCGGCGUGGACAUCCCCUACCCCUUCGGCAUCGGCCCAGGAUGCUUCCGCAAGGGCUUCGAGAUCGAGUGCACCAAGGACGGCCCUGUCCUCGCCGGCACGCCUCUCCGGGUGGUGCGCCUCUCCGUGGAUCCAGACGAGUCCGAGGUGCUGCUCCCCAUCGGGUAUCACUGCUACAACUCGUCCAGCCCCAGCUCAACCGAGGACUUCAGCUACGCUGAGACGGAGAUGAACAAGGACGGCGUGUACCGCAUCUCCAACACGCACAACAUGCUCGUCGUCGUCGGCUGCAACACCAUGGCCUACACCGGCAGCGGGAAGACCGAGGGCGGCACCGACAGCUACGCCUACUACACCGGGUGCUUGUCCUUCUGCAACAACUCCGCGAGCGCGCAGGACGGCCUCUGCGCCGGCGUCGGCUGCUGCCACGUCGACAUCCCGCCGGGGCUCACCCACAACUACUACAAGUUCCGGCCCUACGACCACUCCACCAUGAUGGACUACAGCCCCUGCGAGUACGCCUUCCUCGUCGACAGGACCAACUACACCUUCCUCCGCUCCCACCUCAAGAUGGACACCAAACGGACCUCGCCGGUGUGGCUGGACUGGGCCAUCCGCGGCAACAGCUCCAACCCCGGCGACACACCGUCGUGCAAGCAAGCGGCCAAGACGGGUCAGUACGCCUGCGUGAGCGCUGACAGCCGUUGCGUCGAUUCCACCAAUGGGCCUGGCUACAACUGCAAGUGCUCUGAUGGCUACGAGGGAAACGCCUACUUUGCCGGCGGAUGCACGGAUAUUGAUGAAUGUGCAGAUCCAGCCAAGUAUGGUUGCUACGGUGUCUGCACGGAUAUCCAAGGAGAUUACAAAUGCGAAUGCCCUCCAGGUUAUCGGAGUCGUGAUCCAAGAACCGAACGAUGCACUCAAAAGUUCCCACUUGCAGCACAGAUUUCCGUAGGUGCAAUAGGUGGCAUUCUUGUCUUGGCAUUUCUGGCAUUCUUUUUUGUUCUUCGCAAAGAGAAGCAGAAGGCCAAAGACUUUUACCAAAAGAAUGGUGGUCUUACAUUAGAGAAAGCUAGAACUAUUAAGAUUUACACAAGGGGGAAUCUCAAACCAGUUUUAAAGAGUAGCAAUGUAAUUGGUAAAGGUGGCUUUGGUGAAGUUUACAAGGGUGUUGUUGAUGGAGUUAUCGUUGCAGUAAAGAAACCAAAUGGUCGUAGUGUCCUAGAGAAGGAGCAAUUUCCAAAUGAAGUCACCAUCCUGUCUUAAGUCAGCCACAAGAACAUCGUAAGGCUUAUAGGUUGUUGCCUCGAAGUGGAUAACCCCAUGCUAGUCUAUGAAUUCAUCUCCAAAGGAAGCUUGGAGGACAAUCUUCAUAGAGCUGACAACAAGGAGCUUCUUGACUUGGAUGUACGUCUAAGUAUUCUUGAAGACUCAGCACAUGGUCUAGCUUAUAUGCACUCACAAACCCAUAACACAAUCCUGCAUGGUGAUGUCAAACCAGCAAACAUACUCUUGAAUGAGAACUUUUCCCCAAAGAUCGCGGAUUUUGGCAUAUCAAGGUUGAUUGCACAAGGCAAGGACCACACUAGAAACAUCAUAGGUGACAUGUCUUAUAUGGAUCCCGUGUACCUACAAACAGGUCGAUUGACCGACAAAAGUGAUGUCUACAGUUUUGGGGUCGUCAUCUUAGAGCUCAUUAGCAGGAAGAGGGCCACUCAUUCUGACAAUAAUAGCCUAGUGAGGAGCUUCCUAGAGUGUCACCAAAAUGGGGAGACAAUGACUGAGCUCUUUGAUAAGGAAAUUGCAACGACCAGAGAUUUGGAACUUCUCAACAAGUUGGUAGAGAUUGCUGUUCAGUGUCUUAACCUUGAAGCAGAUCAAAGACCGUCAAUGACAGAUGUUGCAGGUCGCCUUGUCACGCUGCAUAGGUCCCGUAAUCCUUAG
RNAcentral lists this ribosomal RNA (2028 nucleotides) under Triticum aestivum (bread wheat). RNAcentral describes it as "partial small subunit ribosomal RNA". The record is from RNAcentral. Lineage: Eukaryota; Viridiplantae; Streptophyta; Magnoliopsida; Poales; Poaceae.